RNAcentral lists this long non-coding RNA (2615 nucleotides) under Solanum lycopersicum (tomato). RNAcentral describes it as "long non-coding RNA (SLYC_LNC000863)". The record is from RNAcentral. Lineage: Eukaryota; Viridiplantae; Streptophyta; Magnoliopsida; Solanales; Solanaceae.
UUGAUGAUGACAUAAUUCGAAAAACAAGUCUUUAUAGCUUGUUGGAUCAAAACGAACAAUACAUGUCGUGAGCUUAGAAGAAUGAAAAGUUACCUUUAUAUCUAGCUUGUGACAGUGAGUAAAUGAAGUCACAAUGUCAAGGUAAAUUUGGUUCAUGUUUACAGAAAAAAAAGCACACACACUAGGUGUCAUAGUCUAUGGCAUGUGCAUUUGUGCAGAAAAAUAGAAAAGAGAGAAAAGGGUGGGCGAUAUUUUCCACUUGUAGCCAAAAAAAAAAAAUUGUAGUGCCAACAAAGGAGGUUAAGAAAAUGACCAUUUGCUUUUAAAGAUAGUGGGUAGUAGUAGUGUCACGACCCAAAAAUGGACGUGAUGGCAUUCGUCUUAUCCCACCAAGAUAAGUAAGCCUAAAACUCAACUAUUACAAUAAAAAUGCGGAAAAUUUACUAUCAACUUACAUUAUACCCCAAAACCUGAUUGUCACGUGUACAAGCCUCUAAAGUAUUACAAUGGGAUCAAAAGAAAAUAUAAGUCUCAUAUGAUAUUAUUUCUAGAGUAGAACAAAAUCAUAAACAAGGGUAAGGAGGGAUGCUGAGAUGACCAACAACUACCUCACAAAAUCUCCAGGAAACCUCGGAAAAAAAGAGAAUAUAUCAUAAAAGUCCGGGCUAGUAACCUACAAAAAUUUGUAGAAGCAAGGGGUGAGUACCAAACCACACGGUACUCAGCAAGUAAACCUCUAGACACAAGCUAAGGGGAUGAAAUACGGGUACUCCUACCACCCCCAACCGAACCUCCGCAACUACAACCUGCAUAAACAUCAGCCCAGCCUAACAACUCACAGUUUACAUAGAACGUAACUCAACAAAAACAUUUAGACAAAUUACAUAUCCUCCACAACAACACUUUAACAAAUUACAUAUCCUCCACAACAACACUUUAACAAAUUAUAUAUCCUCAACAUCAACACUUCAACAAAUUAGAUAUCCUCAAUAGCAACACUUCCACAAAUUUACAUAUCCUCAAUAACACACUUUAACAAAUUACAUAUCCUCAACAACAACACUUCAACAAAUUAUAUAUCCUCAAUAACAAGCUCAGUAUUCAACAAUCACAAGUUCCGCAAAAAGGCAAUCACUAGAUCAGCAAAACACAAUAUCAAGUUCACUAAUGAUAAGUAUGUGCAAUGUAAUGGAAUGCAAUGUCAAGUAUAAUGAUGCAUGUCUGACCUAGUGAUACACACCCGCUGUCUCUCAGUCCGGGACCCAUGGGGGACAUAUCUGUCCAUGCAUCUGUCGCGGCGCAUGACACGACCCUCGAUAACAGUAACCAUCGCGGCGCGCGAUACGUCCCUCGAAAUAUAGUAUCCAUCGCGGCGCGCGAUACGUCCCUCGAAAUAUAGUAACCAUCGCGGCGCGCGAUACGUCCCUCGAAAUGGUACAUCCUCUUUAAGUUAUCAUUCUUUCUCAAUGCACAUAACACUUCCACAACCAUGCCUCAGAAUAAUGCAAUGACAUGUUCACACAAAUAAUGAGAAGAUGACCAUUUUCAUAACAUUGCACAGUUCACAACCACACAAACAUGAAAUCAUAUCAACAAUGAUUCAACAAGCCAUCAAACUUUUCUCAACACAUCACACAUAAAUAAUUAAUCACAUCGCCUUUUGUUAUCCCUUUUAUUUCAUCAUUAGAAUUAAUCAAUGUGGACAAAUCAACCCAUCACCAAUCCCGUUACUCCCAAACAUAUAUCACAAGGAAAUACACGCAUUCCAUACACUUAACAAGAGUUUAGAAAUCCACUUGCCUCAAAUAGUCGAACAAUGACUCCAAAACUUGAGUCUUCCUCUUUUUGUUGACUUCCAAACCAAUAAAAUCUAUUCAAAUAAAUAACCACGAUAUGAUUUCGAAACUAACAACAUUAAUAUUGCUAUAUCUCUAGCUUAGACCCAAAACUCAUCCAAAUUUAUAAUAAAAUUUCUAAAUCUUUAUUCCAACCAAUUGAUCAAAUCUCAUAUUUUCUGAAUUUCAAGUUUAGGGUUAAAUCUUAAUUCUCCGAAUAACAUAAUUAUAAUGAUUUUUAUAUAUCAUAAUGCACCCACUAUUUAACACAUAUCUCAAUAUAUCAAAACUUGAAUCCUAAUAUGAUAAUCAAAUGAAAUUAAUUAAAGCCGAAACUAACUGCCCAGCACAUCAAUGGCGGACUACAAAACUAUCUGCUGAAACCACUUAUUUUCAAUGUUCCAAUUCAUAUUUAUCGUUCCACUAUUAAUAAUCCUAAUCUUGGAGUAAUCAUUGUCCAAUGAUUAGGACUAAUCAUUGUCCAAUGAUUGAACCAUAAUACUUAUACAUAUUUAUAAUCUCAAGUUCACAAGUUCACAUAUUAGUAUAAAUUAUACACGUUUUAACCUAAAAAUCUAUUCCUAGUUACACAAAAAUUUAAUAGAAAGGAUAAGAAUAAUUACUUUGACGCCUUGAGAUAAAAAUAUUGAUUUUUCUCCUCCUUCUCCCUUUUCUUUUCUCCCUUUCUUUUCUUUUCUUCUCUGUGUUUUUUUUUUUCCAGAUCGUCGUUUUUUUUUCUUUCUCAUGCCCCUUGCGGGUUUUCACAUAUUAGGGCACUUU